GGCUGUUGUACUCCCUGCUGCCUCCCACCCUGGGCCUCAUUUCCCAGGCAGGACCCUGGGCCUCAUUUCCCAGGCAGGACAGUUUGCCAGUCCUUGCUCUCUACUGUGUCUGCAUUUCCCUGGAUGAGAAGAGUUCUGUGGAGUGUCCUGUGCUAGGGGCUGCAGGGAGCACUUCACCAGACUCAACAUUUUCUGCUGUUUUAGUGGAAACAUUCCAAUCUGAUCUCUGACACCAGAAAUGUCUUUCCUCUCUGACACUGCUUCCUCCAGAAACUUAGAUAAGAGCAAUUGGUUUCCAUUCAAGGGAGGGGCAGGGAUAUGAUUCUGCGGGACCAGUCUGGAGUGUGGAGUUGAUGAGAGACGUGUGCGAUGUGUAUGCAAACCUAGAAGUUGUCGGAGCGGUCACCUCCACCAGAUAAAUCAUUCCCAUUCAGUGUUUUCUUGGGGGAGGCCAGCACAGGAAAACUUUCUCUUACCAUCUCUGCUGCAACCAGACUUGUAUUUUUCUUUUACUUUUCCUUCCAGUGUUGUACUGGAUUCUCCCCUCAGGAAUGUCAGACUUCUGCAAGUUCUUCCAUGGCACCAGCUGGAAGACAUGACAGAGGAUCCAGGAAGGCCCAGUGGAGAAAAGAGGUCUUUUGUAAACCAGAGUAGUGCCUCCCUUACUCCAUCCUGGGCUCCAACCUCCUCUGGCCAGUAACUAGUCUCCGGGGCUCUCUCCAAAAUCCCACCACUCUGUCAACACCUGUUCCUAGGUCUCCAGGACACCCCCUGUGGGGAAAAGACUCUUUCCCAGUGUUGAUGGAUCUGUUACAGAACCGUUGACUGAAACCUCCCUCCUUGGCCAGGAACAGUGAUAACCGCUUGCAUGAGUUGUCUCGCAACAAGAGGUCCCGAUAAUGAAUGCCGUGCUACCACUGAAAACUAGCCAGAAGAAUCUGGGAGCGGCCGAAAGGAGGGAGGAGACACCAGUCCCUGUGUCCUACCGACCUCCCAGAAUCCUCCUCACUGGAAUCCAUCUUGACUGAGAGAUGUGUGCCACCAGGAAGGACCCUGAGUCAAACCAAAUAUGGGCCAAGCAAGAUGAUUGUCCAGAGACAACCCAAAACCUAACCUCAUUACCAUACAACCCAAGACUGUAAGCCACGUGGCAGAGCAGCUCUCCUGGGUUCCCUUACCCUGCUGCUCUCAACCCAGGUGCCACUUCCCAAUAAAGUCUUUUGCUU
Non-coding RNA from Delphinapterus leucas (beluga whale), 1226 nucleotides. NCBI's taxonomy places the organism in Eukaryota, Metazoa, Chordata, Mammalia, Artiodactyla, Monodontidae. The record is from RefSeq and is a predicted model, not a curated record.